GGCCCGAGUGGUGAUCGUGAUUAUUGGGUCUAAAGGGUCCGUAGCCGGUUUGGUCAGUCCUCCGGGAAAUCUGAUAGCUCAACUAUUAGGCUUUCGGGGGAUACUGCCAGACUUGGAACCGGGAGAGGUAAGAGGUACUACAGGGGUAGGAGUGAAAUCUUGUAAUCCCUGUGGGACCACCUGUGGCGAAGGCGUCUUACCAGAACGGGUUCGACGGUGAGGGACGAAAGCUGGGGGCACGAACCGGAUUAGAUACCCGGGUAGUCCCAGCCGUAAACGAUGCUCGCUAGGUGUCAGGCAUGGCGCGACCGUGUCUGGUGCCGCAGGGAAGCCGUGAAGCGAGCCACCUGGGAAGUACGGCCGCAAGGCUGAAACUUAAAGGAAUUGGCGGGGGAGCACAACAACGGGUGGAGCCCUGCGGUUUAAUUGGACUCAACGCCGGACAACUCACCGGGGGCGACAGCAAUAUGUAGGCCAAGCUGAAGACUUUGCCUGAAUCGCUGAGAAGUGGUGCAUGG
RNAcentral lists this ribosomal RNA (518 nucleotides) under uncultured archaeon. Its description in RNAcentral is "bacterial SSU rRNA". It matches the Rfam family "Archaeal small subunit ribosomal RNA", at positions 481 to 997 of the family's 1478-position model. The record is from RNAcentral.